GAUGAAGAACGUAGCGAAAUGCGAUACUUGGUGUGAAUUGCAGAAUCCCGUGAACCAUCGAGUCUUUGAACGCAAGUUGCGCCCGAAGCCGUCAGGCCGAGGGCACGCCUGCCUGGGCGUCACACGCCGUUGCCCCCCCGCGCCCCGCACCCAACUCUUUGGGAGCGACCGCGGGGCGGGCUGAUGAUGGCCUCCCGUGCGCUCCGCCGCGCGGUUGGCCCAAAUACCGAGUCCCCGGCGACGGGCGCCACGACGAUCGGUGGUUGAGAGACCUCUGUCGCAAGUCGUGCGCGCCCGUCGCGUCACGCGGGCUCGCAUAGCGCCUCGCGCCGCACCCGGUGCGGAGCUUUCAACGCGACCCCAGGUCAGGCGGGGUUACCCGCUGAAUUUAAGCAUAUCAAUAAGCGGAGGA
RNAcentral lists this unclassified non-coding RNA (412 nucleotides) under soil metagenome. RNAcentral's name for it is "partial contains 5.8S ribosomal RNA, internal transcribed spacer 2, and large subunit ribosomal RNA". The stretch from base 1 to 122 matches the Rfam family "5.8S ribosomal RNA", at positions 35 to 154 of the family's 154-position model. The record is from RNAcentral.